GUGCACCAGGCGCGAAUCUUUCGCAAUGGGGGAAACCCUGACGAAGCGACGCCGCGUGCAGGAUGAAGGCCUUCGGGUUGUAACUGCUGUCGGCUGGGAAAAAAUACGAUGCGUGAAUAACGCAGCGUUUUGAUGGUACCAGCAAAGGGAAGCCACGGCUAACUCUGUGCCAGCAGCCGCGGUAAUACAGAGGUGGCAAGCGUUGUUCGGAUUUACUGGGCGUAAAGGGUUCGUAGGCGGUUCGGAAAGUCAAAUGUGAAAUCCCACAGCUCAACUGUGGAACUGCAUUUGAAACUCCCGGGCUAGAGUAUGAGAGGGGUAAAAGGAAUUCCC
This 333-nucleotide ribosomal RNA is filed under the name uncultured organism. Its description in RNAcentral is "bacterial SSU rRNA". It matches the Rfam family "Bacterial small subunit ribosomal RNA", at positions 346 to 671 of the family's 1533-position model. The record is from RNAcentral.